Molecule: unclassified non-coding RNA, 244 nt
Filed under: Hevea brasiliensis (rubber tree)
Lineage: Eukaryota; Viridiplantae; Streptophyta; Magnoliopsida; Malpighiales; Euphorbiaceae
Source: RNAcentral
CUGAGGGGCCUUUUCGAUGAUCUCCUUCACGUAAUUCUCUCCGAAGCAGCGGUGGCCGGCGUCGUAGACCUGGCGGAUGAGGGAGACGGGUUUGGUCUUGCUGACGGCCACUACCCGCACUUGAUCCAGCCCGCGGGGACGUCGGGGACGGUCUGGCGCUCCUUGUCGAUGACGAAGUAGAGGGUGACGCCGUGCUUGCGGAGGUCUUUGACGUGGAUGAGGGGGGAGAGGACGUCGCGGCAGA